CGCUGGCGGCAGGCCUAACACAUGCAAGUCGGACGGUAGCACAGAGGAGCUUGCUCCUUGGGUGACGAGUGGCGGACGGGUGAGUAAUGUCUGGGGAUCUGCCCGAUAGAGGGGGAUAACCACUGGAAACGGUGGCUAAUACCGCAUAACGUCGCAAGACCAAAGAGGGGGACCUUCGGGCCUCUCACUAUCGGAUGAACCCAGAUGGGAUUAGCUAGUAGGCGGGGUAAUGGCCCACCUAGGCGACGAUCCCUAGCUGGUCUGAGAGGAUGACCAGCCACACUGGAACUGAGACACGGUCCAGACUCCUACGGGAGGCAGCAGUGGGGAAUAUUGCACAAUGGGCGCAAGCCUGAUGCAGCCAUGCCGCGUGUAUGAAGAAGGCCUUCGGGUUGUAAAGUACUUUCAGCGGGGAGGAAGGCGAUGGGGUUAAUAACCCUGUCGAUUGACGUUACCCGCAGAAGAAGCACCGGCU
This 475-nucleotide ribosomal RNA is filed under the name uncultured bacterium. Its description in RNAcentral is "bacterial SSU rRNA". It matches the Rfam family "Bacterial small subunit ribosomal RNA", at positions 34 to 498 of the family's 1533-position model. The record is from RNAcentral.